AUUGAACGCUGGCGGCAGGCCUAACACAUGCAAGUCGAGCGGAUGAAGGCUGCUUGCUCCUGGAUUCAGCGGCGGACGGGUGAGUAAUGCCUAGGAAUCUCCCUGGUAGUGGGGGAUAACGUCCGGAAACGGGCGCUAAUACCGCAUACGUCCUGCGGGAGCAAGUGGGGGAUCUUCGGACCUCACGCUAUCAGAUGAGCCUAGGUCGGAUUAGCUAGUUGGUGGGGUAAAGGCCUACCAAGGCGACGAUUCGUAACUGGUCUGAGAGGAUGAUCAGUCACCCUGGAACUGAGACACGGUCCAGACUCCUACGGGAGGCAGCAGUGGGGAAUAUUGGACAAUGGGCGAAAGCCUGAUACAGCCAUGCCGCGUGUGUGAAGAAGGUCUUCGGAUUGGAAAGCACUUUAAGUUGGGAGGAAGGGCAGUAAGUUAAUACCUUGCUGUUUUGACGUUACCAACAGAAUAAGCACCGGCUAACUUCGUG
Molecule: ribosomal RNA, 484 nt
Filed under: uncultured bacterium
Lineage: Bacteria
Description: partial 16S ribosomal RNA
Rfam family: Bacterial small subunit ribosomal RNA
Source: RNAcentral